UACAGAGGGGGCAAGCGUUGUUCGGAAUUACUGGGCGUAAAGGGCGCGUAGGCGGCCUGUUAAGUCGAACGUGAAAUCCCCGGGCUCAACCCGGGAACUGCGUCCGAUACUGGCAGGCUUGAAUCCGGGAGAGGGAUGUGGAAUUCCAGGUGUAGCGGUGAAAUGCGUAGAUAUCAGGAGGAACACCGGUGGCGAAGGCGCUCAUCUGGCCCAAUACUGACGCUGAGGCGCGAAAGCUAGGGGAGCAAACGGG
Molecule: ribosomal RNA, 253 nt
Filed under: uncultured bacterium
Lineage: Bacteria
Description: partial 16S ribosomal RNA
Rfam family: Bacterial small subunit ribosomal RNA
Source: RNAcentral